RNAcentral lists this ribosomal RNA (460 nucleotides) under uncultured bacterium. RNAcentral's name for it is "partial 16S ribosomal RNA". It matches the Rfam family "Bacterial small subunit ribosomal RNA", at positions 338 to 795 of the family's 1533-position model. The record is from RNAcentral.
CCUACGGGAGGCAGCAGUGAGGAAUCUUGGUCAAUGGGCGCGAGCCUGAACCAGCCAAGUAGCGUGAAGGAUGACUGCCCUACGGGUUGUAAACUUCUUUUAUCAAGGAAUAAAGUGAAGCACGUGUGCCUUUUUGUGUGUACUUUAUUAAUAAUGAUCGGCUAACUCCGUUCCAGCAGCCGCGGUAAUACGGAGGAUCCGAGCGUUAUCCGGAUUUAUUGGGUGUAAAGGGAGCGUAGGUGGGUUGUUAAGUCAGUUGUGAAAGUUUGCGGCUCAACCGUAAAAUUGCAAUUGAUACUGGCAGUCUUGAGUACAGUGGAGGUAGGCGGAAUUCGUGGUGUAGCGGUGAAAUGCUUAGAUAUCACGAAGAACGCUGAUUGCGAAGGCAGCUUACUAAACUGUAACUGACACUGAUGCUCGAAAGUGUGGGUAUCAAACAGGAUUAGAUACCCCAGUAGUC